AGCCAACUGACGAGUCCCAAACAGGACGAAACGUGCGUCCUGGAU
This is a non-coding RNA of Schistosoma margrebowiei, 45 nucleotides long. The record is from Rfam. Lineage: Eukaryota; Metazoa; Platyhelminthes; Trematoda; Strigeidida; Schistosomatidae.